Molecule: small RNA, 28 nt
Filed under: Bombyx mori (domestic silkworm)
Lineage: Eukaryota; Metazoa; Arthropoda; Insecta; Lepidoptera; Bombycidae
Description: ovarian small RNA-6600
Source: RNAcentral
UAUCGUUGAUCUUCAGAUCCUCCGGAUA